This 468-nucleotide ribosomal RNA is filed under the name uncultured bacterium. Its description in RNAcentral is "bacterial SSU rRNA". It matches the Rfam family "Bacterial small subunit ribosomal RNA", at positions 28 to 490 of the family's 1533-position model. The record is from RNAcentral.
GACGAACGCUGGCGGCGCGCCUAACACAUGCAAGUCGAACGGAGUUACUCUGAAUGAAGUUUUCGGAUGGAUUUUGGAUUAACUUAGUGGCGAACGGGUGAGUAACGCGUGAGUAACCUGCCCUGGAGUGGGGGACAACAGUUGGAAACGACUGCUAAUACCGCAUAAGCCCACAGUGCCGCAUGGCACAGCGGGAAAAGGAUUUAUUCGCUUCAGGAUGGACUCGCGUCCAAUUAGCUAGUUGGUGAGGUAACGGCCCACCAAGGCGACGAUUGGUAGCCGGACUGAGAGGUUGAACGGCCACAUUGGGACUGAGACACGGCCCAGACUCCUACGGGAGGCAGCAGUGGGGAAUAUUGGGCAAUGGGCGAAAGCCUUACCCAGCAAUGCCGCGUGAGUGAAGAAGGUCUUCGGAUUGUAAAGCUCUUUGAUCAGGGACGAACACAAUGACGGUACCUGAAGAACAAG